CAAAGGUGGGGGAGAGAGUCGCAAGGACAAGGACAACCACCGCAAGGAUUGGGGGCAGAAAAAGCCGCCAAGCAACAGGACUUGGCAAGGCAAACCGGAGGGCAAGAAAGAGGCACGGAAACCACCAAGCCCAUGCUUCAUAUGCAAUGGCCUUCAUUGGGUACGCGACUGUCCGGAGAAGAAGUCGCUCAACGCUCUUGCCGCACAGCUGAAGGACAACUCCACAUCGUCCUUAGAGGAACCCCAACCCAGCAUGGGUUCUAUCCAACGCCUUGGCGCACUUAAUCGCCAACAGACCACACCAGUUAAGAAGGGGCUCAUGUACGUAAGCGGCAAGAUAAAUGGCCAGCCCAUUCGUGCUAUGAUAGACACGGGAGCAACUGAUAAUUUCGUGACCAUAGAUGAGGCCAAGCGAUUAGGCCUCAAGACCACCAAGGAAGGAGGCAUAAUGAAAGCGGUAAACUCACCCGCUGAGCCAAUUGCGGGGACUGCAAAAGGGGUGCAGUUGACACUCGGAACGUGGAGUGGAAAGGUCGAUUUCUCCAUUGUACCCAUGGACGACUUCAAGAUGGUCCUUGGCAUGGAAUUCUUUGACCAAGUCCAUGCCUUCCCACUGCCUGCUACAAACUCCCUAAGCAUAUUUGACGGGAGCAAGGCAUGCAUGGUACCCUUGGAGAGAGGCAAACCCGAGGAGAAGACCCUCUCCGCCAUGCAAAUCAAGAAAGAUUUCAGGAAGGACCCAAGCUUCUUGGUCUCCAACCGGGAACGAGACGAAGAAGGAAAUAGGGGAACAUUGCCAAGCCAAGUCCCUCCACAAACGCAAGCUAUCCAUAAUGAGUACAAGGAUGCCACACCGCCAAAACUUCCGAAAAAGCUCCCACCUCGGCGAAAGGUAGCUCGUCCAGUCGAGCUAGAUCAAGGCACGAAGCCACCAACCUUGGCGCCCUACCGCAUGGCGCCACCCGAACAUGAGGAAGCGGUUAUUACGCGAGCCAACCUCGACAAGGUCGCAGGAAAAAUGAAGAAAAGGGCGGAUCGCGUGGUUUCAAAAAAGGAGCAUGGCAGCACCUCCAGCAUUACAAGCACGAGGGCGCGACGAGGACGCCGCGAGCUUAGGUGGGGGAGGAUGUUACGGACCGCCCAAGUUGAUAGCCCAAUCAUCCAUAAUAUUGGGCUAGGAAGCCAAUGUAAGGCCAAGAGUCCUAGCUUGGCCCAAUUCCGGAACAUUCUAGACAACUCCAGCACAUUUGAGCAACUCUAGAUUCCGGAACGUUCUAGGGAACUCUAGCACAUUGGAGAACUCUCUAGA
RNAcentral lists this long non-coding RNA (1309 nucleotides) under Nicotiana benthamiana. RNAcentral's name for it is "long non-coding RNA (NBEN_LNC004425)". The record is from RNAcentral. Lineage: Eukaryota; Viridiplantae; Streptophyta; Magnoliopsida; Solanales; Solanaceae.